Molecule: long non-coding RNA, 644 nt
Organism: Lolium perenne
Lineage: Eukaryota; Viridiplantae; Streptophyta; Magnoliopsida; Poales; Poaceae
Source: RefSeq, a predicted model, not a curated record
CAUACCUACUCCCGAUUUGUACUCUAAACCAAAUCACGGCACCAUCACGGUGGCGAUUGGAUCUGAGCUCUGGUCUUCGUCCGUGCUCACGGUGUCAUCGCGGCGUCAACACAUAGAAGCACGCCCGCACAGAGAAUAUCUCAGGGCACAAGGAUGAAUUCAAUGGAGGAUACUGCUGUAAGGAAAGACUCUAUUGUUUUUACAAGGACAGAAAGUAUAAAAGAAUACAUAAACAAGCGUGGACAACCCAAAUCUGGACCCAAAGAAUUAGCUGGACAUGGUUGAAGUAUUGGGAAAACGCAUAUAUUUUAGAGAUUUCAACCACCAUGGUAGCAAAUGGACUCAAACUCUGGCUACAUUUUACUUGAGUUGCAUUUGAUGGAUAUUUUCUAUGAGAAUCAUGAUUUGUAUGAACGUACAUAUUAUACCUAUGGAUUUGAAUUUUGUAAUUCAGUGGCUGUAUUUUUUUAUGGUUGCGAUAAGCUAUUGCUGCAACUCACUUUUUGUUGCCUUAGGUUAGCACCACGGAAAAUAUAGUGUUGCGUCAAAUCCUAGUCACCACGACUACAUGCUUUGUUGCGCUAGGAUGUAGCAACGAAGCAGUUUAUAUUGUUGCAAUAAAUUGUUACCACAUUUUUUUUGCA